This 468-nucleotide ribosomal RNA is filed under the name uncultured bacterium. RNAcentral describes it as "partial 16S ribosomal RNA". It matches the Rfam family "Bacterial small subunit ribosomal RNA", at positions 28 to 507 of the family's 1533-position model. The record is from RNAcentral.
GACGAACGCUGGCGGCGUGCUUAACACAUGCAAGUCGAACGGAAAGGCCCUGCUUUUGUGGGGUGCUCGAGUGGCGAACGGGUGAGUAACACGUGAGUAACCUGCCCUGGACUUUGGGAUAACUUCAGGAAACUGGGGCUAAUACCGGAUAGGAGCUCCUGCGGCAUGGGGGGGGUGGGAAAGUUUCGGCGGUUGGGGAUGGACUCGCGGCUUAUCAGCUUGUUGGUGGGGUAGUGGCUUACCAAGGCUUUGACGGGUAGCCGGCCUGAGAGGGUGACCGGCCACAUUGGGACUGAGAUACGGCCCAGACUCCUACGGGAGGCAGCAGUGGGGAAUAUUGCACAAUGGGCGGAAGCCUGAUGCAGCAACGCCGCGUGCGGGAUGACGGCCUUCGGGUUGUAAACCGCUUUCGCCUGUGACGAAGCGUGAGUGACGGUAAUGGGUAAAGAAGCACCGGCUAACUACGUG